Molecule: long non-coding RNA, 2430 nt
Organism: Anolis carolinensis (green anole)
Lineage: Eukaryota; Metazoa; Chordata; Lepidosauria; Squamata; Anolidae
Source: Ensembl
AUGCCAGUUACAAAUCCUCAUCACUAUCAGCUGCCCUCCUUAACCCGGGCGUUUCCUCAUCACUUUCCUCAUCAGAGCUGGAACACCUCUGACUACGCCCCACAGCAUCCCCAGCUGUGGAUCCCGUCCCAUCCCUCCAGCUUGUCCAUGGGUCUAAUCCUGAAGGUCCCCAUUCAUCUUCCAUCCCAUUAUUGCCAGUGGCACCCAAAUCCUCAUCACUAUCAGCUGCCCUCCUUAACCCGGGCGUUUCCUCAUCACUUUCCUCAUCAGAGCUGGAACACCUCUGACUACGCCCCACAGCAUCCCCAGCUGUGGAUCCCGUCCCAUCCCUCCAGCUUGUCCAUGGGUCUAAUCCUGAAGGUCCCCAUUCAUCUUCCAUCCCAUUAUUGCCAGUGGCACCCAACUCCUCCCUUACCCGAGUCCAAUCCAUCUCAUCCUCUUCCGAGCUAACCAGCUCUUCCUCCAUUCUCUCCGUGAACCCCUUAAAAGACUCUUUGUCAGAUGGUUCUGCAAAGAUAUCUCGCAGCCUCUUUCUUUCUCGCUCCUCGAGAGUAUCUGACUCUCGAGGAGUCUUACGUCCACGUCUGCCAGAAGCAGAGCCAUGAGGCUCAAUCAUAACAACAAGUGAAAUCAUGCUACAGUUUAGGGCAGAAUGGCACUGGCAUCUACAUUUGAUUUUGAACAGCAUAGGAAGUAUAUGUAGAACAAAAAGUGAGGCUUUACACAUAGUUUUUAAGGCUAAUUCUAGAAGCAACCUCAUUUUAAUUUUUUAAAAUUUUUGUUUUUGGUAAAAAUGCUCCCACAGUAACUGACUUACGGUAAUAUUGGUUUUAUGAUAAGCAAGACAAUGUCUGCCUACAGGGUGAAAUCUAACAAGCAUGGCACAAAGGGAGGUGGAAGUGGAGGAAGCAAAGAGAUGUAAAGAUUCAGGAAAUGAAUGCAGGCACCAGUACAGAAAGUUAUGUCUUACUUAACUACUGUUUCAUUAGCCGCUAAGUUUGUGUCUGAGCCUUUAUAAGCCUCCCCCAUGAUUUAGUUCCUCACUGUCUUCCUUUUCUAGUUGUCAGAGCAUAUCAGUUGAUCCCAAAUGUAGUUGUUCUCUCAACGGCAGUUGGGAUCUAGAUUUUGAGAGGAAACAGGACUGCCUCACCUGUCCUAUGCUCCAGUUAGCAAGUGACCUGGGAGCCAGAUAGUUUGAGUGUAAGAGCUAUCUAGGAACAAAUCCAGACCAGUCAUGAGGUAUUCAGGAGGAUGAAGGAAGAAGCAAGAAUUGACAUCUUUCAGUCCAGAAGUUGUUCAGCAAGUCCAGACAAGGCAGCAAGAAACAUAAAUUAUAGCCAGUGCCAUUUCUCUUUGUCUCUUUGCCACCCAAUGAAUGAUGGCAAUGGGUCUUCUGCAAGUUCCUGCUAUGGAGCAGGGCACCCUCUGGCUCAACGUACAGCUCCUCAGGUUUGGAAAGACCAUGGGUCAAUGGAAUGCAGAUUCCUGGCAAUCUAACACCUCUCCAUCUGAAUAAUCCACUUCUAGAGGGUGAAUUAUGCCAUCACUCCAUGUCAAAAACAAAGCGGAAUAAAAAAGUGAUCAAUAAUAUUUUUUAAAAGGUAGACAAUUUAAAAGGUGAAAUCAACUCAAGUUAUGGACAGUUUUCCAUACAGAAAGAUGACUCCUAUGCCAAUUGGGCAAGGGGUUCCAUGUCAGCUUCUAAGUCUAAAAUUUAUUGGAGCCAUUCAAGAUGAUAAAUCUGUUUUGCGGAAGGGGUUUAGCACCUGGAAAAGCUUCUUUAAAUCACAGAGGAAAACCUGGGGUAAAUUCAAUGCCUUACUAACAUGAAAAGUAUCAAGUGUAACUAGCAGAUUCUUGUGUUCAGUCAAUAUAUACUGGGAUGGAGAACUUGUGGACUUACAGAUGAUUUUGGACCCUAGUUUUCCUAUUCUCUCACCAUUAGCUAUUUUGGCCAGGAUUGAUGGGAGCUAUAUGCCAAAUCAUCUGAAUGGUUACUAUUUUCCACACUUAACUUAAACAAUUGUAACUCAAUAAGACAACAUAAGAUAUGAUUGUCAAAUAAUGCUUUGCUUCUAAUAAAUGAUGUUCUAUUGUCAUGGAAAGGAAAGUGUAAUUCACACAAUUGACAAGCCAGUAUCUGACAGCAGCAAUUACCCUGUUAAAACAGUAUGGUCAAAUGAAAAGGCCUUUAAUGGCAUGCAAGAUGACAAUCUAUACAUUGCCUAGUCAUCCCCUGAGGUAUAAAAUAAUAUAGGCUUUUUAUUUUGUUUCUUGUCUUUCAGUCCGAUAGUAGGAGUGUUAUCUAUGCCACUUUAGAGAAUAUAGAGAGCAAGAUUUAAUGGAACACUAUAUCAAAUGCCUUAGUAAAAUUGUUAGCAUGUGUCACACUUGGCUGGUGCUUUAGCCUCAUGUGUUAUUUACACUUCA